UCGACGGAGACUUUUUUGCUACCCUUGAGCAAGCAACGACAAAGCCGAGUGAGAUUUGCAAAGACACUGCAGAAUGAUUCUCGUCCUGCUCCUUAUAUCCCCAAUCAUUACACAAUACAAAGUUGAACUUUCAUGCAAUAUUGAUUUGCAUAGCAUGUUUUUUUGGGUCAUACUUUAUCUUCUGAACAUAUAUUAACCUCUAUGCAAACAGAUAAAUGAUGUAUAUGUGUGGAUGUCAGCAUAUUCUUAUGUUUUCUAGGUCACAACUGUGCCUUUUGUUGGGAAAAAUAACCUGCUGAGUACAUCACAUGUACAUUACAAAUAUAGCUAACUCCUACCCUAGCCUGAUGAGCACAUCACAUGGCAGGCACAUUACAAUAUAGUCAACUCUUGCUCUAACCCAACGAACACAUAACACAAACAUGAUAAUAUAGUCAGGUCAAGGCCGGAGCUGAAGGCCCCAUUUCCCAACCAGGCAAAUGGUGGACACUCAGACAAUGCACCAGUCAUCCUCAAGAACGGGAGAGCCACAUUAAUUUAUCACACAGGAGACAUUUUGAGAGCUCUCCCCCGUUAGGAGGAACCAAGAGAUACACCUGCCCAUACCAGGGCCUGAGAGCCACAUUAAAUUAUCACACAGGAGACACUUCGGGGGGGCGCUCCCCCGUUUUAAUUUAUCACACAGGAGACAUUUUGAGAGCUCUCCCCCGUUAGGAGGAACACAAGAAGAUACACAUGCACAUACCAGGGCCUGAGAGCCAAGGUCAAGCAAAAACAAACAGAACCACGCACACCUCAAACGCACACACCUCAUCGAGAGGAGGAUACAGCAUAAGACUGUAUCACACAGGGCCUGAGAGCCAAGGUCAAGCAAAAACACACAGAACCACGCACACCUCAAACGCACACACCUCAUCGAGAGGAGGAUACAGCAUAAGACUGUAUCACACAGGGACUCUUCAUCUUCUUCUGGAGCAGACCUUCCACGGAGGCGAAGCUCUGGACGAACCAUCAGCGCUGAUUAGGGACUUAGACAUAUUCGAUCUCUCACGCUUUAUGACUCUGUAUAACCGUUGCCACUUUACUUAAUAAAUCCAAGGUCCUCGUGCCGACAGACUUUAUUACCUCUCCGUCUCAUUUCAUCUGGUCCAGUAACUAGACAGACCGUUUUUCCCCUCAAAUGGCAGGAUCUCGCUUGAGACAUCCUGGAGGAGAGAGGAGGGGAUAGCGUCAAGGGGGCAGGUGGUGGCAUGGUUAGAUGUUAUUAUUCCGUUGACCUCGUCAGAGGUGAGAGGGCUAAAUUGGGUAAAGACAGAGGAGGGGAUGGGAGGAGGGAGAAUGGAGGCAGGGAUAAAAGAGGAGCUAAUG
RNAcentral lists this long non-coding RNA (1368 nucleotides) under Gadus morhua (Atlantic cod). Its description in RNAcentral is "lncRNA (ENSGMOG00000029717.1)". Lineage: Eukaryota; Metazoa; Chordata; Actinopteri; Gadiformes; Gadidae. The record is from RNAcentral.